This is a long non-coding RNA of Lineus longissimus, 266 nucleotides long. RefSeq lists it as uncharacterized. The transcript is spliced from 3 exons. NCBI's taxonomy places the organism in Eukaryota, Metazoa, Nemertea, Pilidiophora, Heteronemertea, Lineidae. The record is from RefSeq and is a predicted model, not a curated record.
GAGCAUUGAAAUGCAUUAUCUAUCUCAAGAACUUAGGCGAAGAUUCGUAGAUUCGAUCCGGAGACCAUGGCAAUAUUGAUACUUUCUGUUGUUCUGGUCCUUAUUGCCCAGUGUCGCCCUGAAACUGUGGACUCCUACACCGACGCAUCUAAUCCGGAGCACCACUAUCUAAUCUCUCAUAUCAUGAGGUACCAGAGCGAUGCAAAGACGUGGCAGGCAGCUAAGGAUUUCUGCCCUACAGUCGGCGAUGAGUUUGUCCUAAUGGA